UACGUAGGGACCAAGCGUUGUUCGGAUUUACUGGGCGUAAAGGGCGCGUAGGCGGCUUAACAAGUCACUUGUGAAAUCUCCGGGCUUAACUCGGAACGGCCAAGUGAAACUGUCAAGCUAGAGUGCAGAAGGGGCAACUGGGAUUCUCGGUGUAGCGGUGAAAUGCGUAGAUAUCGAGAGGAACACCUGCGGCGAAGGCGGGUUGCUGGGCUGAUACUGACGCUGAGGCGCGAAAGCCAGGGGAGCGAACGGG
RNAcentral lists this ribosomal RNA (253 nucleotides) under uncultured bacterium. RNAcentral describes it as "partial 16S ribosomal RNA". It matches the Rfam family "Bacterial small subunit ribosomal RNA", at positions 524 to 776 of the family's 1533-position model. The record is from RNAcentral.